AAGGAUCAUUACCGAGUUUGUCUUCUUCGGAAGACUCCUCCCACCCUUGUGUAUUUUACAUGCUGAUAAGCAGCUUCGGCGGGCCGUUCCCUGUGGCAUCACUCUGUCAUGGAGCGAAGGCCGGGGAACAUCGGCCUAACCAGCGGAUAUGCGCCUGCCGAAGGACUCCAACUCUCUGAUAAUUUGAAGUCUGAAUAAAAACUUGAUAAUAAAUCAAAACUUUCAACAACGGAUCUCUUGGUUCUG
This 246-nucleotide unclassified non-coding RNA is filed under the name uncultured fungus. RNAcentral describes it as "partial contains 18S rRNA, ITS1, 5.8S rRNA, ITS2 and 28S rRNA". The record is from RNAcentral. Lineage: Eukaryota; Fungi.